UGGGGAAUAUUGCACAAUGGGCGAAAGCCUGAUGCAGCAACGCCGCGUGAGUGAUGAAGGUCUUCGGAUUGUAAAGCUCUGUCUUUUGGGACGAUAAUGACGGUACCAAAGGAGGAAGCCACGGCUAACUACGUGCCAGCAGCCGCGGUAAUACGUAGGUGGCGAGCGUUGUCCGGAUUUACUGGGCGUAAAGGGUGCGUAGGCGGAUGUUUAAGUGAGAUGUGAAAUACCCGGGCUUAACUUGGGUGCUGCAUUUCAAACUGGAUAUCUAGAGUGCAGGAGAGGAGAAUGGAAUUCCUAGUGUAGCGGUGAAAUGCGUAGAGAUUAGGAAGAACACCAGUGGCGAAGGCGAUUCUCUGGACUGCAACUGACGCUGAGGCACGAAAGCGUGGGUAGCAAACAGGAUUAGAUACCCUGGUAGUCCACGCCGUAAACGAUGAGUACUAGGUGUAGGAGGUAUCGACCCCUUCUGUGCCGCAGUAAACACAUUAAGUACUCCGCCUGGGAAGUACGAUCGCAAGAUUAAAACUCU
This 532-nucleotide ribosomal RNA is filed under the name uncultured bacterium. Its description in RNAcentral is "partial 16S ribosomal RNA". It matches the Rfam family "Bacterial small subunit ribosomal RNA", at positions 355 to 903 of the family's 1533-position model. The record is from RNAcentral.